UAUAUAUUUUUAUAUAUUUUCUGCAAUCAUUUGUUGGGCGGCAUGGCAUGCAACACAUACAUAAAUACAAAAGGACGUAUCACACGGAACAAACAGUCGUAUCACACGUAUGGGAAUCAAUCACAAAUUUCAAGAUGUACAAAUAGUUUUCGUAAAUUCCGGUAAAGACCACAUUUGGAAAUGCAAUUGUGCAGCAAUUGGUGUUAAAAUUAUCUGUUUAUCUUUGG
Molecule: long non-coding RNA, 227 nt
Organism: Drosophila arizonae
Lineage: Eukaryota; Metazoa; Arthropoda; Insecta; Diptera; Drosophilidae
Source: RefSeq, a predicted model, not a curated record